This 484-nucleotide long non-coding RNA is filed under the name Selaginella moellendorffii. RNAcentral describes it as "long non-coding RNA (SMOE_LNC001161)". The record is from RNAcentral. Lineage: Eukaryota; Viridiplantae; Streptophyta; Lycopodiopsida; Selaginellales; Selaginellaceae.
AAUACUUUUCUUUCAUUGAUCCGCGCCAUUGGGUAGCCUUCCGACUAUACAUUGCUUCAAGUAUUGUGCGAGGUUCUGGAGUCAUCCAUCGCUCACCUCCUGCAAAGUAGAAAUCAGCUCCACUGUUGGCAGGCAUUCUUCCUCAAAGUCGAGGUGCUGGCAGACUCCAAAGCCUUGCGAGAGAGAUAACUUAUGUUGGUUGAGUGAGAAUGAGAAGGAGAGGAGUGAGAAGGUUCAGGAACCAAUUGGAGGCUAGGAGGAGCUGAUCCGUUGAAGACAUUGUUCAGUACCACUGGUGAAUCUGGAAUAGGAUCUGGUACUAGAGGCAAUGGUGAACCUCACUUGAGUGUUUUCUGGAAUAGAGAGAGGCUCCCCGUCAAGUAGCAGCAGCCAAGAUGAGUUAGUAGAGGAAUCACAAGAGAUGAUACCUCUAGAAUGUGAAGCGAGAAGAUGCUUGUACAACUUUUGCUCAUCAAACAAACCA